GGGAGUGGGGGGUGGGGAUUGGGUUGUGAUCAGGGAGUCCAGGUUCUGACCCAUCAGUCUCAAGGAGUCUCUGGGACAUCCAUAACAUGUUAAGAGGGCCCUUGCCUGUUUGCAACUGGAGCUCAGGUCGACAGAGAAAUGGCUGUGGAGAAGACACACAAAAGCUACAAAGUGUCCAUGUCCUUUGGCCUAAGCAAUAAAAAGCACAUAUACUAAAAUUGGAAUGAUACAGAGAAGAAGAGCAUGGCUUCUGAACAAGGAUGACACGAAAAUUCGUGAAGGAGGAAGAAGGUAAGCACGGCUGGUCUGUGACUGGAAAACAGGCUGAAGGUGGUGAAGGCAGCUGAAUAAAGAGUUCAGAGUGUGCACCUUAUUAGCCUUGAUUUCCUCUUAACUUUGAAGUUCUCUCCAAGGCCUUGGGAGUUUUCUUUUAUUCAUACACAUGCAGCUCUGUACCUCCAGACGGCUCUCCAGCUACACACACAUACAUAUCUAUAAU
This is a long non-coding RNA of Acinonyx jubatus (cheetah), 499 nucleotides long. RefSeq lists it as uncharacterized. The transcript has 3 exons. NCBI's taxonomy places the organism in Eukaryota, Metazoa, Chordata, Mammalia, Carnivora, Felidae. The record is from RefSeq and is a predicted model, not a curated record.